GGGAGCCGGUGGAGCCUGAGAUGCUGAGAUGCUUCAGCGCAGUCCAUGCACAGGUGGUACCGAUUCUGCUGGUCUGAGAAUCAGGGCUCGGAAGAGGGCGAGGCGUUAAGAGUUUCGAAGAGGGAGCGGUUGCUCACAGUUGAGGCCUCUUGGAGGAGAGUUUGUUUCCUGGGUUACUGCACAGCCUCAGACAGCCAGCGCCCAUCUGCCACCAGCCUCCGAUUAGCACUGGAUGCCAAGUUCUGUGGGAGGUCAACUCCAGCCUGUCGAGAAAGCAGCCAAACCUUCCCUUCUCCUCUGCUGGACCUGUGAGAGCGGCUCUUGAUGAUUGAUGAAGCUGAGGAGCUGACAGGAGUCACUAUAGCCGGCUUCUUAAUUUUUUCUUGCUGACAAAUUCUGACAGUUUAUAACCUAUAGGAGAAGAAUAAAAUGAUACCUUGGGGAAGGAAGACAUAUCUUCCACACAGCUCUCUCGCUCUGAAAGAAUUCUGGAUAAGAUGAAAAUAAAGUUGUAUU
This is a long non-coding RNA of Bubalus bubalis (water buffalo), 516 nucleotides long. RefSeq lists it as uncharacterized. The record is from RefSeq and is a predicted model, not a curated record. Lineage: Eukaryota; Metazoa; Chordata; Mammalia; Artiodactyla; Bovidae. The transcript has 3 exons.